Molecule: ribosomal RNA, 254 nt
Filed under: uncultured bacterium
Lineage: Bacteria
Description: partial 16S ribosomal RNA
Rfam family: Bacterial small subunit ribosomal RNA
Source: RNAcentral
GACGAACCGUGCGAACGUUGUUCGGAAUCACUGGGCUUAAAGCGCGUGUAGGCGGGACGGCACGUCUGUCGCUGAAAUCCCCCGGCUUAACCGGGGAACGGGCGCGGAUACGACCGUCCUGGAGGGGCGUAGGGGGACCUGGAACUUCCGGUGGAGCGGUGAAAUGCGUUGAGAUCGGAAGGAACGCCCGUGGCGAAAGCGAGGUCCUGGACGCCUACUGACGCUGAGACGCGAAAGCCAGGGGAGCGAACGGG